GAUGAACGCUGGCGGCGUGCCUAAUACAUGCAAGUCGAGCGAAAAGAUGAUGAGCUUUCUCCUCUGACGUUAGCGGCUGACGGGUGAGUAACACGUGGAUCACCUACUUCUAAUACUGGGAUAACUUCGUGAAACCGGAUCUAAUACCGGAUAAUAUAUUGAACCGCAUGGUUCAGUAGUUAUAGACGCUUUUGCUGUCACUUAUAGAUGGAUCCGCGCUGCAUUAGCUAGUUGGUAAGGUAACGGCUUACCAAGGCUACGAUGCGUAGCCGACCUGAGAGGGUGAUCGGCCACACUGGAACUGAGACACGGUCCAGACUCCUACGGGAGGCAGCAGUGGGGAAUAUUCGGCGAUGGGCGAAAGCCUGACGGAGCAACGCCGCGUGAGUGAUGAAGGUCUUCGGAUCGUAAAACUCUGUUAUUAGGGAAGAAAAAAAGUAUAAGUAACUAUGCACGUUUUGACGGUACCUAAUCAAAAAGCCACGGCUAACUACGUG
RNAcentral lists this ribosomal RNA (497 nucleotides) under uncultured bacterium. Its description in RNAcentral is "partial 16S ribosomal RNA". It matches the Rfam family "Bacterial small subunit ribosomal RNA", at positions 28 to 507 of the family's 1533-position model. The record is from RNAcentral.